RNAcentral lists this ribosomal RNA (253 nucleotides) under uncultured bacterium. Its description in RNAcentral is "partial 16S ribosomal RNA". It matches the Rfam family "Bacterial small subunit ribosomal RNA", at positions 524 to 776 of the family's 1533-position model. The record is from RNAcentral.
UACGUAGGGUGCAAGCGUUAUCCGGGAUUAUUGGGCGUAAAGAGCUCGUAGGCGGUUUGUCGCGUCAGCUGUGAAAACCCGAGGCUCAACCUCGGGCCUGCAGUGGGUACGGGCAGACUAGAGUGCGGUAGGGGAGAUUGGAAUUCCUGGUGUAGCGGUGGAAUGCGCAGAUAUCAGGAGGAACACCGAUGGCGAAGGCAGAUCUCUGGGCCGUAACUGACGCUGAGGAGCGAAAGCGUGGGGAGCGAACAGG